This 301-nucleotide ribosomal RNA is filed under the name uncultured bacterium. RNAcentral's name for it is "partial 16S ribosomal RNA". It matches the Rfam family "Bacterial small subunit ribosomal RNA", at positions 509 to 807 of the family's 1533-position model. The record is from RNAcentral.
CAGCAGCCGCGGGAAUACGUAGGGUGCAAGCGUUAAUCGGAAUUACUGGGCGUAAAGCGUGCGCAGGCGGUUAUAUAAGAAAGAUGUGAAAUCCCCGGGCUCAACCUGGGAACUGCAUUUGUGACUGUAUAGCUAGAGUACGGCAGAGGGGGAUGGAAUUCCGCGUGUAGCAGUGAAAUGCGUAGAUAUGCGGAGGAACACCGAUGGCGAAGGCAAUCCCCUGGGCCUGUACUGACGCUCAUGCACGAAAGCGUGGGGAGCAAACAGGAUUAGAUACCCCAGUAGUCCCUGUCUCUUAUAC